UACAGAGGGUGCAAGCGUUGUCCGGAAUCACUGGGCGUAAAGGGCGCGUAGGUGGCCUGAUAAGUAGGAGGUGAAAUCCUGAGGCUUAACCUCAGGGCUGCCUUCUAGACUGUCCGGCUCGAGCACAGUAGAGGCAGGUGGAAUUCCCGGUGUAGCGGUGGAAUGCGUAGAGAUCGGGAAGAACAUCGGUGGCGAAGGCGGCCUGCUGGGCUGUUGCUGACACUGAGGCGCGACAGCGUGGGGAGCAAACAGG
RNAcentral lists this ribosomal RNA (253 nucleotides) under uncultured bacterium. RNAcentral describes it as "partial 16S ribosomal RNA". It matches the Rfam family "Bacterial small subunit ribosomal RNA", at positions 524 to 776 of the family's 1533-position model. The record is from RNAcentral.